Molecule: microRNA precursor, 205 nt
Filed under: Oryza glumipatula
Lineage: Eukaryota; Viridiplantae; Streptophyta; Magnoliopsida; Poales; Poaceae
Description: MIR812 microRNA precursor family
Rfam family: MIR812 microRNA precursor family
Source: Rfam by way of RNAcentral
AAUAGGUGACGCCCAUUGAAUUUUUCUCACAUGUUUGAUCAUUCGUCUUAUUCAAAAAAUUUAUGUGAUUAUAACUUAUUUUGUUAUGAGUUGUUUUAUCACUCAUAGUACUUUAAGUGUGAUUUAUAUUUUAUACAUUUGUAUAAAAUUUUUAAAUAAGACGAAUGGUCAAACAUAUAAGAAAAAAUUAACGGUAUCAUCUAUU